This is a long non-coding RNA of Pelobates fuscus (common spadefoot toad), 205 nucleotides long. RefSeq lists it as uncharacterized. The transcript is spliced from 3 exons. The record is from RefSeq and is a predicted model, not a curated record. NCBI's taxonomy places the organism in Eukaryota, Metazoa, Chordata, Amphibia, Anura, Pelobatidae.
AAGAUUAAUGGUGCUGUGCAAUGUUGAUUAUGGCUCUAACUAAAUGCCCCCACCAUGCCUGUUUUUAAAUGACAAUGCAGGUGACACAGCUGGACGUGGAUGUACUAGUUGGCACAUCUGUAAAUCCAUGGCAUUGUUACAAUUAGAAAGAAAUUGAAUCAGAGCCUGUCCUCCCUGCAGUGGAGGAUUUUAACACACAGCAUGU